UUAAGUGAAUAAGGGCGCACGGUGGAUGCCUUGGCACUAGGAGCCGAUGAAGGACGGGACUAACACCGAUAUGCUUUGGGGAGCUGUACGUAAGCUAUGAUCCAGAGAUUUCCGAAUGGGGGAACCCAACAUCUUUAAUAGGAUGUUACGAUUGUGUGAAUACAUAGCACAUUCGAGGUAGACGCAGAGAACUGAAACAUCUAAGUACCUGCAGGAAGAGAAAGAAAAUUCGAUUCCCUGAGUAGCGGCGAGCGAAACGGGAAAAGCCCAAACCAGCAAGCUUGCUUGUUGGGGUUGUAGGACUCCAAUAUGGUAGUUCUUUCAGAUAGUCGAAUGACUUGGAAAAGUCAGUCAAAGAGGGUAAAAACCCCGUAGACGAAAUGUGGAAGACACCUAGGAGGAUCCUGAGUACGGCGGAACACGAGAAAUUCCGUCGGAAUCCGGGAGGACCAUCUCCCAAGGCUAAAUACUCCCUAGUGACCGAUAGUGAACCAGUACCGUGAGGGAAAGGUGAAAAGCACCCCGGAAGGGGAGUGAAAUAGAACCUGAAACCGUGUGCCUACAACAAGUCAAAGCCCGUUAAUGGGUGAUGGCGUGCCUUUUGUAGAAUGAACCGGCGAGUUACGAUUGCAUGCGAGGUUAAGUUGAAGAGACGGAGCCGCAGCGAAAGCGAGUCUGAAUAGGGCGUUUGAGUAUGUAGUCGUAGACCCGAAACCAUGUGAUCUACCCAUGUCCAGGUUGAAGGUGCGGUAAAACGCACUGGAGGACCGAACCCACGUACGUUGAAAAGUGCGGGGAUGAGGUGUGGGUAGCGGAGAAAUUCCAAACGAACUUGGAGAUAGCUGGUUCUCUCCGAAAUAGCUUUAGGGCUAGCCUCGGAAUUGAGAAUGAUGGAGGUAGAGCACUGUUUGGACUAGGGGCCCAUCUCGGGUUACCGAAUUCAGAUAAACUCCGAAUGCCAUUCAUUCAUAUCCGGGAGUCAGACUGUGAGUGAUAAGAUCCAUAGUCGAAAGGGAAACAGCCCAGACCACCAGCUAAGGUCCCAAAAUAUAUGUUAAGUGGAAAAGGAUGUGGGGUUGCACAGACAACUAGGAUGUUGGCUUAGAAGCAGCCAUCAUUUAAAGAGUGCGUAAUAGCUCACUAGUCGAGUGACCCUGCGCCGAAAAUGUACCGGGGCUAAACAUAUUACCGAAGCUGUGGAGUACACCUUUAGGUGUAUUGGUAGGAGAGCGUUCUAAGGGCGUUGAAGGCAGAUCGUGAGGACUGCUGGAGCGCUUAGAAGUGAGAAUGCCGGUAUGAGUAGCGAAAGACAGGUGAGAAUCCUGUCCACCGAAUGACUAAGGUUUCCUGGGGAAGGCUCGUCCGCCCAGGGUUAGUCGGGACCUAAGCCGAGGCCGACAGGCGUAGGCGAUGGAUAACAGGUUGAUAUUCCUGUACCCGUUGUUUUUGUUUGAGCAAUGGAGGGACGCAGGAGGCUAAGGAAUGCAGACGAUCGGAAAUGUCUGUCCAAGCAGUAAGUCUGAAGAGGAGUCAAAUGCUUCUUUUCUUAAGGACAAGCUGUGAUGGGGAGGGAAAUAAUAGUACCGAAGUUCCUGAUGUCACACUGCCGAGAAAAGCUUCUAGUGAGAAAACAGCGGCCCGUACCGCAAACCGACACAGGUAGUCGAGGAGAGAAUCCUAAGGUGAGCGAGAGAACUCUCGUUAAGGAACUCGGCAAAAUGACCCCGUAACUUCGGGAGAAGGGGUGCUGAUCAUACGAUCAGCCGCAGUGAAUAGGCCCAAGCGACUGUUUAUCAAAAACACAGGUCUCUGCAAAAUCGUAAGAUGAAGUAUAGGGGCUGACGCCUGCCCGGUGCUGGAAGGUUAAGAGGAGUGCUUAGCGCAAGCGAAGGUACGAAUUGAAGCCCCAGUAAACGGCGGCCGUAACUAUAACGGUCCUAAGGUAGCGAAAUUCCUUGUCGGGUAAGUUCCGACCCGCACGAAAGGCGUAACGAUUUGGGCACUGUCUCAACGAGAGACUCGGUGAAAUUUUAGUACCUGUGAAGAUGCAGGUUACCCGCGACAGGACGGAAAGACCCCAUGGAGCUUUACUGUAGUUUGAUAUUGAGUGUCUGUACCGCAUGUACAGGAUAGGUAGGAGCCGUAGAAAUCGGAACGCUAGUUUCGAUGGAGGCGCUGGUGGGAUACUACCCCUGCGUUAUGGCCACUCUAACCCGCACCACUAAUCGUGGUGGGAGACAGUGUCAGAUGGGCAGUUUGACUGGGGCGGUCGCCUCCUAAAAGGUAACGGAGGCGCCCAAAGGUUCCCUCAGAAUGGUUGGAAAUCAUUCGAAGAGUGUAAAGGCAGAAGGGAGCUUGACUGCGAGACCAACAAGUCGAGCAGGGACGAAAGUCGGGCUUAGUGAUCCGGUGGUUCCGCAUGGAAGGGCCAUCGCUCAACGGAUAAAAGCUACCCUGGGGAUAACAGGCUUAUCUCCCCCAAGAGUCCACAUCGACGGGGAGGUUUGGCACCUCGAUGUCGGCUCGUCGCAUCCUGGGGCUGUAGUCGGUCCCAAGGGUUGGGCUGUUCGCCCAUUAAAGCGGCACGCGAGCUGGGUUCAGAACGUCGUGAGACAGUUCGGUCCCUAUCCGUCGCGGGCGUUGGAAAUUUGAGAGGAGCUGUCCUUAGUACGAGAGGACCGGGAUGGACUUACCGCUGGUGUACCAGUUGUUCUGCCAAGGGCAUUGCUGGGUAGCUAUGUAGGGAAGGGAUAAACGCUGAAAGCAUCUAAGUGUGAAGCCCACCUCAAGAUGAGAUUUCCCAUUUCUUUAAGAAAGUAAGAUCCCUGAGAGAUGAUCAGGUAGAUAGGUCAGGAGUGGAAGUACAGUGAUGUAUGAAGCGGACUGAUACUAAUCGAUCGAGGACUUAACCAA
This 2913-nucleotide ribosomal RNA is filed under the name Enterococcus faecium. RNAcentral's name for it is "bacterial LSU rRNA". It matches the Rfam family "Bacterial large subunit ribosomal RNA". RNAcentral also lists the same sequence under 2 other names. The record is from RNAcentral. Lineage: Bacteria; Bacillati; Bacillota; Bacilli; Lactobacillales; Enterococcaceae.